Drosophila melanogaster (fruit fly) is the source of this 93-nucleotide non-coding RNA. Its record names the gene mir-982. The record is from Ensembl. Lineage: Eukaryota; Metazoa; Arthropoda; Insecta; Diptera; Drosophilidae.
CGAAAUCAUGUUAGAUCCUGGACAAAUAUGAAGUAAAUUGUUUUUAUGCAUCAAUUACUUGAUAUUCAUCCUUGAACUAAAUGGUUUUAGAGC